RNA transcript from Vanessa tameamea, 458 nucleotides. RefSeq lists it as uncharacterized. The record is from RefSeq and is a predicted model, not a curated record. Lineage: Eukaryota; Metazoa; Arthropoda; Insecta; Lepidoptera; Nymphalidae. The transcript has 2 exons.
CUGUCAUUUUGUAACACUAAAUUUGCCGUCAAUGACAGUUUAACAAUUUUUUUUUGACAAGUUGAAAUACAUUUUUACUUGUGUGAUUAAAUUUGAAUCAACCUUAACUAAAAAUGGUGCGAAUAACAGCUGUACUAUCUAGAGUCCCAGUAAUUAAAUUUCGGAAAGGACUAGGUUCAUCCAAUGCCCCUUCGCCGCCUCCUGCUGCAGCAGGUCCCGCGGCAGCAUCAGCGCAAUCGUCAGUUCAAUCUCAACCUGCAGCAGCAAUGAGCAGUGCUCCAAUUUCUGACAUUGAUUUACCACUACGCUACAGACGACGACCAUUAUCACAAGAAGAGAUAGAUCAUAUCAACGGCGGAGGAGUUGUUUAGUUACCACCUUAUUGUUUGUAGAUAGAAUUUAACUAGUCAAUAUCUUAACAUAGUUGUUGGAAGAUAUUUAAAAAAAUGUUUAAUCAA